CUACGGGAGGCAGCAGUGGGGAAUUUUUGGCAAUGGGGGAAACCCUGACCAAGCAACGCCGCGUGGGUGAUGAAGUAUCUCGGUACGUAAAACCCUUUCGACGGGGACGAAACCGCAAGGUUGACGGUACCCGUAGAAGAAGCCCCGGCUAACUCCGUGCCAGCAGCCGCGGUAAUACGGGGGGGGCAAGCGUUGUUCGGAAUUACUGGGCGUAAAGGGCGCGUAGGCGGCUCGCUAAGUCAGGUGUGAAAACUCUGGGCUCAACCCAGAGCCUGCACUUGAAACUGACGGGCUGGAGUUCUGGAGGGGAAAGCGGAAUUCCUGGUGUAGCGGUGAAAUGCGUAGAUAUCAGGAGGAACACCGGUGGCGAAGGCGGCUUUCUGGACAGAAACUGACGCUGAGGCGCGAAAGCUAGGGGAGCAAACAGGAUUAGAUACCCCGGUAGU
RNAcentral lists this ribosomal RNA (446 nucleotides) under uncultured bacterium. Its description in RNAcentral is "bacterial SSU rRNA". It matches the Rfam family "Bacterial small subunit ribosomal RNA", at positions 339 to 794 of the family's 1533-position model. The record is from RNAcentral.